GAUGAACGCUGGCGGCGUGCUUAACACAUGCAAGUCGAGCGAAGCACUUGUGAAGAUUCUUCGGAUGAAUCAUUUGUGACUGAGCGGCGGACGGGUGAGUAACGCGUGAGUAACCUGCCUUAUACAGGGGAAUAACAGUUAGAAAUGACUGCUAAUGCCGCAUAAGCGCACAGGACCGCAUGGUCCGGUGUGAAAAACUCCGGUGGUAUGAGAUGGACUCGCGUCUGAUUAGCUGGUUGGUGAGGUAACGGCCCACCAAGGCGACGAUCAGUAGCCGGCCUGAGGGGGUGAACGGCCACAUUGGGACUGAGACACGGCCCAAACUCCUACGGGAGGCAGCAGUGGGGAAUAUUGCACAAUGGGGGAAACCCUGAUGCAGCGACGCCGCGUGAGUGAAGAAGUAUUUCGGUAUGUAAAGCUCUAUCAGCAGGGAAGAAAAUGACGGUACCUGACUAAGAAGCCCCGGCUAACUACGUGCCAGCCGCCGCAGUAA
This 493-nucleotide ribosomal RNA is filed under the name uncultured bacterium. Its description in RNAcentral is "partial 16S ribosomal RNA". It matches the Rfam family "Bacterial small subunit ribosomal RNA", at positions 28 to 523 of the family's 1533-position model. The record is from RNAcentral.